CAGCAGUGUCCUUAGUUGGUUCUGAAGGGCAUUUUGCACAGUGUUUAGCAAUGAUUUGGGCCAUAUUACUUCUCAUUCUCCAAGUCUGGUCCUCCAAGUUUUUAGGCAAUUUUGUAUUUAUUUUCUGCUAUAAUCAGCCCAAACCCAUUUCUUUUGCUCUGGAACUUAGAAGUGAUCUAGUCAACUUACAUGGUAAGCAAUCAUCUAUAGCAAAAAUUUAGAGUAAAAUUAGACCAAGAUUGAUUGAACAUUCAUGUUUCAAACUGCAGAAAAUCUUGGAGUUUUUUUAGACAAUAAUAUUAAUGUUACUACUGCUAAUAAAAGAUAGCUUUAUUGAGAAACUACUGUAUGUCAUGAUCUGUAUUAAGCCUUUAUAUGAAAAAAAAAAGCCUUUAUAUGCAUUAUUUCCUGUAAUUCAAGGAAGAUAUAGGAACUCAAAUCUGAUGAAAAUAAGCCAGAUGAAAAAACAUGGCCUAUAAUCUAGUGGAGGAGGAGGAGGAUGAUGACGAUGACAAUGAUGAAGAUUAUGAUGACAAUGAUGUUGGUAAUGAUGAUAAUGAUGGCAAUGACAAUGAUGAUGACAAUGACAAUAAUGAUGAUUAUGAUGAUGACAGUGAUGUUGACAAUGAUGAUGAUGACAACAUCUGGAAUGUGGAGAAUCACAGUUAGGGUCAACCGCCUAUAUAACAGAGCUUGUUUGAAGUGUCUCAAGUCCCAGGCUCUAAUGGACCCCAACUCUGAUAAAUCACCUUCAUGCUCAGAAGGAAAGAUAAGACUUAUGCAACUAUUGCUUAUAGUGAUAACCUCUACAUCUCCUGGAAUUAGCCUCAACUUAGUGAUUUCUGGCGUACAUCCUGCAACUGGACAGAAGGACAGACACUGUUAAUCUACAGAAAGCUAAAAACAAAGUUUUGUGCAAAGAGCAGCUCAGGCACCUCCAGCUACACCAUGUCACAGCCUGGCUCUGGCUCUGAACUUUGUUCUGGGCUCAGCGCAGACUGUCCGUCUUACAUCAGGAGACCCUACAGGGAACCUGGGGCUUUCCACAGUGGGAGCACCCAUCUGCCCAACUGCAUAAGGCCACAGGAGUAUCAUCAACUGCAGAGGGGGAAACUGAGGCCCGCAGGGGCCGAUCAACAGGCAUUGUACUUGGCAGACCUUCUGAAGUGAGUGGGGAUGCUGAGACUGGAACAGGUGACUUCCUGGCUCUGUUGCUUCAUGAACCUGCUUUUUAAGUAGGCAUGGGCUCCUCUGUGCACCUGCUUUACCUGAGGCCGAAUCAAGUCUAGGAUAAAGAUUCAUGUGACCUUGAGUAACAGAGCAGGGUUGGGGGAAGUGUGUUGACUCUUCAAGGCUGGGACAUUCAGGGCUGGCCUUCUUAUAAUUAAACCUGAGUCAAAAGACCCUCUAUUUGGCAUAACUUACUAUUGUUCUAAGUGUAUCAGUAAGUUUCCAUGAAUUAAUGAGGCUUAGGGGGACACCUGGAUGGCUUGGUGGUUUAGCGUCUGCCUUUGGCUCAGGAUGUGAUCCUGGAGUCCUGGGAUCGAGUCCCACAUUGGGCUUCCUGCAUGAAGCCUGCUUCUCCCUCUGCCUGUGUCUCUGCCUCUCUCUCUGUGUCUCUCAUGAAUAAAUAAAUAAAAUCUUAAAAAAAUUAAUGAGGC
Molecule: long non-coding RNA, 1661 nt
Filed under: Vulpes vulpes (red fox)
Lineage: Eukaryota; Metazoa; Chordata; Mammalia; Carnivora; Canidae
Description: lncRNA (ENSVVUG00000020830.1)
Source: RNAcentral